UUUACGGAGAGUUUGAUCCUGGCUCAGGAUGAACGCUGGCGGCAUGCCUAACACAUGCAAGUCGUACGCGACAGAUUCACUUUUGACUCAUCGCCCUUUGGCUAGGACGAUUAGAUUUUCCUUUAGGAAAAUCUAAUCUUACGGGCUUCGAAGGGAUGAGGGAUGAGAUAAAAGUGAAUCUGUUGAGUGGCGGACGGCUGAGUAACGCGUGGGAACGCACCCCGAACUGAGGGAUAACUACUCGAAAGAGUAGCUAAUACCGCAUAUUUUCUUUGGAACAAAGUCUUCGGACGGUUUGGGAGCGGCCUGCGUACGAUUAGAUAGUUGGUGAGGUAACGGCUCACCAAGUCCACGAUCGUUAGCUGGUCUGAGAGGAUGAUCAGCCAGACUGGAACUGAGAACGGUCCAGACUCCUACGGGAGGCAGCAGUGAGGAAUCUUCCACAAUGGGCGAAAGCCUGAUGGAGCAAUGCCGCGUGCAGGAUGAAGGCCUUCGGGUUGUAA
Molecule: ribosomal RNA, 503 nt
Filed under: Candidatus Nomurabacteria bacterium
Lineage: Bacteria; Candidatus Nomuraibacteriota
Description: bacterial SSU rRNA
Rfam family: Bacterial small subunit ribosomal RNA
Source: RNAcentral